RNAcentral lists this ribosomal RNA (1265 nucleotides) under Metarhizium anisopliae. RNAcentral describes it as "eukaryotic LSU rRNA". The stretch from base 949 to 1265 matches the Rfam family "Eukaryotic large subunit ribosomal RNA", at positions 1 to 327 of the family's 3401-position model. Lineage: Eukaryota; Fungi; Ascomycota; Sordariomycetes; Hypocreales; Clavicipitaceae. The record is from RNAcentral.
AAAAAUGUUCUUGGGGCCGCGACACGGCCGCGAUUACANCUGAAAGGGGGCCCCAACGGGAUAUUAAAUUUCCCUUGGGCCCCGGAAAAGGGCCCGGGGGGUAAAUUGUUGGUUUAAAACGUCCCUUCGUUCUGGGGGAAUUAGGAAGCCAUUUCCCAAAUUUAAUUUGGCUUUGUUUCAAAACGGAAGGGAAUUCACCUUAUUUGAAGCGCCAAGGUUCAAUUCAAGGCUUUGGCGGUUUGAAUUAACGGUCCCCGUGCCCCCUUUUUGGUAACCACAGCCCGGCCCGCGGUUCGGUUAACUUACCCGGAAUUUGAAAUGGGCUUCAGGUGGAAGGGCGGCUCAGUGAGGCGUCCGGACUGGCCCAGGGAGGUGGGCAACUACCACCCAGGGCCGGAAAGCUCUCCAAACUCGGUCAUUUAGAGGAAGUAAAAGUCGUAACAAGGUCUCCGUUGGUGAACCAGCGGAGGGAUCAUUACCGAGUUAUCCAACUCCCAACCCCUGUGAAUUAUACCUUUAAUUGUUGCUUCGGCGGGACUUCGCGCCCGCCGGGGACCCAAACCUUCUGAAUUUUUUAAUAAGUAUCUUCUGAGUGGUUAAAAAAAUGAAUCAAAACUUUCAACAACGGAUCUCUUGGUUCUGGCAUCGAUGAAGAACGCAGCGAAAUGCGAUAAGUAAUGUGAAUUGCAGAAUUCAGUGAAUCAUCGAAUCUUUGAACGCACAUUGCGCCCGUCAGUAUUCUGGCGGGCAUGCCUGUUCGAGCGUCAUUACGCCCCUCAAGUCCCCUGUGGACUUGGUGUUGGGGAUCGGCGAGGCUGGUUUUCCAGCGCAGCCGUCCCUCAAAUCAAUUGGCGGUCUCGCCGUGGCCCUCCUCUGCGCAGUAGUAAAACACUCGCAACAGGAGCCCGGCGCGGUCCACUGCCGUAAAACCCCCCAACUUUUUAUAGUUGACCUCGAAUCAGGUAGGACUACCCGCUGAACUUAAGCAUAUCAAUAAGCGGAGGAAAAGAAACCAACAGGGAUUGCCCCAGUAACGGCGAGUGAAGCGGCAACAGCUCAAAUUUGAAAUCUGGUCCCCAGGGCCCGAGUUGUAUUUGCAGAGGAUGCUUUUGGUGAGGUGCCUUCCGAGUUCCCUGGAACGGGACGCCAUAGAGGUGAGACCCCGUCUGGUUGGAUACCGAGCUUCUGUAAAGCUCUUCGACGAGUCGAGUAGUUGGGAAUGGCUGCUCUAAAUGGAAGUUUUUUUCUCUAAGCUAAAUUUUGGC